UACGUAGGUGGCAAGCGUUGUCCGGAUUUACUGGGCGUAAAGAGCGCGCAGGCGGUCGUUCAAGUCGCGUGUGAAAGCCCCCGGCUCAACUGGGGAGGGUCACGCGAUACUGAUCGACUCGAAGGCAGGAGAGGGUAGUGGAAUUCCCGGUGUAGCGGUGAAAUGCGCAGAUAUCGGGAGGAACACCAGUAGCGAAGGCGGUUCUCUGGGCCGGUACUGACGCUGAGGAGCGAAAGCGUGGGGAGCAAACAGG
Molecule: ribosomal RNA, 253 nt
Filed under: uncultured bacterium
Lineage: Bacteria
Description: partial 16S ribosomal RNA
Rfam family: Bacterial small subunit ribosomal RNA
Source: RNAcentral